RNAcentral lists this unclassified non-coding RNA (340 nucleotides) under Hevea brasiliensis (rubber tree). The record is from RNAcentral. Lineage: Eukaryota; Viridiplantae; Streptophyta; Magnoliopsida; Malpighiales; Euphorbiaceae.
CUUGACAAGGACGUUGAUCUUCCAGAUGAAGAGAAGGAAAUAGAUGCCAAAGAACGUGACCUUGUGGUAGGAAAAGUAUAUGCUAAGAUUAUGGAGAUUGAGUCUCGUCUUCUGCCCUGUGGACUUCACAUCAUUGGUGAACCUCCAACCGCCAUGGAGGCAGUUGCCACUCUUGUCAACAUUGCUGCAUUGGACCGUGCUGAAGAUGAUAUUUCUUCCCUUCCAUCUAUUCUGGCUGCCACAGUUGGCAGAAAUAUUGAGGAGAUCUAUCGAGGAAAUGACAAUGGAGUCUUGCGAGAUGUGGAGCUGCUUCGUCAAAUUACUGAGGCAUCACGUGGAG